AUGGUGCAGUGCUGCCAUCGUCGCCGGGCCCCUACGAUGGUCCUCAAACUUGACUUCGCCAAGAAGUUCGACUCCAUCAACUGGGCGAGCUUGCGCGCUGUGAUGGCGGCCAGGGGGUUCCCAUCGCUCUGGUGCGACUGGAUGGAUGCCCUCUUCCACUCCUCGAGCUCGGCGGUCUUGUUGAACGGGGUGCCAGGGCGAUGGUUCCGGGUGCGCUGCGGCCUCAGGCAGGGGGACCCCAUCUCCCCCUACAUCUUCCUCAUCGUCGUUGACAUGCUCCAACGGCUGAUCCGCCAGGAUGAUGUGCUUCGCCACCCUCUCCUUCCGGGCGUGCCUGCGGUGGUGCUGCAGUACGCUGAUGACACGUUGAUCAUCGCGCGGGCGGACGAGGAUGACGCGGUCCGUCUCCGGCAAAUUCUCGACCAGUUCGCCGCCGCCACGGGGCUGAUCAUCAACUUCACCCAAAGCACCCUGGUGCUGGUGCAUGUGGAGGAGGAGGCUCUGGCCCGCGUGGUGGCCGCUUUGGGCUGCGCCACGGGGUCGUUCCCGCAGACGUACCUCGGCCACCCUCUCUCAUGGGAGAAGCUGCGAUUCGCUGAUUUCCUUCCGCUGAUUGCGAAGGUGGACAGAUAUCUCACCGGCUGGGCGGCUUGCCUUCUCUCCCCCGCGGGGCGUCUGGUGCUCAUUGAUGUCGUCCUGGAUGCACUCCCUACAUAUGCAAUGGCUGCGUUGCUGCUGCCGCCUGCCGUGGUGCGUGCGUUGGAUGGGCUGCGCCGCGCCUUCCUAUGGAACAUCGCCGAACGAGCAUUGGGCGCCCAAUGCCUUGUUGCUUGGGAGCGUGUUUGUCGGGCGAAGAGCUAA
RNAcentral lists this ribosomal RNA (861 nucleotides) under Triticum aestivum (bread wheat). Its description in RNAcentral is "partial small subunit ribosomal RNA". Lineage: Eukaryota; Viridiplantae; Streptophyta; Magnoliopsida; Poales; Poaceae. The record is from RNAcentral.